RNAcentral lists this ribosomal RNA (433 nucleotides) under uncultured bacterium. RNAcentral's name for it is "partial 16S ribosomal RNA". It matches the Rfam family "Bacterial small subunit ribosomal RNA", at positions 28 to 507 of the family's 1533-position model. The record is from RNAcentral.
GACGAACGCUGGCGGCAGGCCUAACACAUGCAAGUCGAGCGGACCUUUCGGGGUCAACGGCGGACGGGUGAGUAACGCGUGGGAAUAUGCCCUUCUCUACGGAAUAGUCCUGGGAAACUGGGGGUAAUACCGUAUACGCCCUUUGGGGGAAAGAUUUAUCGGGGAAGGAUUAGCCCGCGUUGGAUUAGGUAGUUGGUGGGGUAAUGGCCUACCAAGCCGACGAUCCAUAGCUGGUUUGAGAGGAUGAUCAGCCACACUGGGACUGAGACACGGCCCAGACUCCUACGGGAGGCAGCAGUGGGGAAUCUUAGACAAUGGGGGCAACCCUGAUCUAGCCAUGCCGCGUGAGUGAUGAAGGCCUUAGGGUUGUAAAGCUCUUUCAGCUGGGAAGAUAAUGACGGUACCAGCAGAAGAAGCCCCGGCUAACUCCGUG